Molecule: ribosomal RNA, 374 nt
Filed under: Paracoccus marcusii
Lineage: Bacteria; Pseudomonadati; Pseudomonadota; Alphaproteobacteria; Rhodobacterales; Paracoccaceae
Description: bacterial SSU rRNA
Rfam family: Bacterial small subunit ribosomal RNA
Source: RNAcentral
AACGAACGCUGGCGGCAGGCUUAACACAUGCAAGUCGAGCGAGACCUUCGGGUCUAGCGGCGGACGGGUGAGUAACGCGUGGGAACGUGCCCUUCUCUACGGAAUAGCCCCGGGAAACUGGGAGUAAUACCGUAUACGCCCUUUGGGGGAAAGAUUUAUCGGAGAAGGAUCGGCCCGCGUUGGAUUAGGUAGUUGGUGGGGUAAUGGCCCACCAAGCCGACGAUCCAUAGCUGGUUUGAGAGGAUGAUCAGCCACACUGGGACUGAGACACGGCCCAGACUCCUACGGGAGGCAGCAGUGGGGAAUCUUAGACAAUGGGGGCAACCCUGAUCUAGCCAUGCCGCGUGAGUGAUGAAGGCCUUAGGGUUGUAAAG